GAUGAAGAACGCAGCGAAAUGCGAUAAGUAAUGUGAAUUGCAGAAUUCAGUGAAUCAUCGAAUCUUUGAACGCACAUUGCGCCCGCUAGUAUUCUGGCGGGCAUGCCUGUCCGAGCGCCAUUGCUGCCCUCAAGCACGGCUUGUGUGUUGGGCCUCCGCCCCCCGGCUCCCGGGGGGCGGGCCCGAAAGGCAGCGGCGGCACCGCGUCCGGUCCUCGAGCGUAUGGGGCUUCGUCACCCGCUCCGUAGGCCCGGCCGGCGCCCGCCGGCGACCCCCCUCAAUCUUUCCAGGUUGACCUCGGAUCAGGUAGGGAUACCCGCUGAACUUAAGCAUAUCAAUAAGCGGAGGA
Molecule: unclassified non-coding RNA, 349 nt
Filed under: soil metagenome
Description: partial contains 5.8S ribosomal RNA, internal transcribed spacer 2, and large subunit ribosomal RNA
Rfam family: 5.8S ribosomal RNA (bases 1-120)
Source: RNAcentral